Long non-coding RNA from Oreochromis aureus, 1330 nucleotides. NCBI's taxonomy places the organism in Eukaryota, Metazoa, Chordata, Actinopteri, Cichliformes, Cichlidae. The record is from Ensembl.
GAAACAUCCAUGUUUAUGAAAGUUGGAGGUGACGUCACUCUGAUUUGUCUAAAUGUGAUAGAUGAGCAGAAUAACUGUGAUGGUACUACGUGGAUGUUUGCUUCAAGACACAAACAAACAACAGUAGAGCUGAUCACACAUGGACAGAUUGUUGAAGAAGCCAAAACUAAAUCAGACAGACUGAGUGUUACAGCGAACUGUUCUCUGCUUAUAAAGAAGCUCACAGUUGAGGAUGUUGGUUUUUAUUACUGUCAACAAUACAAAGUCAAAGAAACACCAUCUAAACACACUCUGGUUCAUCAGUCUCAGGUUCAUCUCUCUGUUAUUACCUUGACUGAACAUAAGGACACUGAUAAGGUGACGUUAAGCUGCUCUGUGGUGACACAUGCAGAGUGUCAUCACACAGUGAAGUGGCUGCUUAAAGGUCAAGCUGUGGACAAAGAGAACAAACAAAUAGUGACCUCACAGACUGACUGCUCCACCACUGUGUCUAUUCUGAAGUAUUAUUAUUUAUACUCAUCACGUCAUAAAAUACUGAAGUGUGAAGUGACUGAUGCUAAAACAGGAAAAGUGCAGCUGUUUACCUUCAGCCAUCAGACCUCAGGUGAGGAAACAGGUGUCCUGUGGUUCAUCAUUCCAGCUGUGGGUUUGGUCUCACUCUUGAUAGUUGUUGUGGUUUUCAUCAGAUGGAAGAGAACUAGAGGAAAUAAAACACAGAUGGAUGAAGAUACUGGACUGAGUUUAAACCCUGCAGAGACUCAGUCUGCUCCUCAAACCAGUCAGGACUCGGUGGAUCCUGAAGUUUCCUACGCUACCAUCAGCUACACCAAGACCAACAAUAAAGUUCAGGUUCGGGGUGAUGAUGAAGGUGAUGCAGUGACCUACAGCACUGUGAAGGCUCAUUCCUCUUCUGCUGCAGCCACUGCUGAUCCCAGCAGCCUCUACUCGACUGUCACUUUUCCACUCACAUAGUUAAAGUUGACAAAAAGGACUCACAUUUAAGUUAAAGACUAAUUUUGUUUUGUGUUUGCAUACAGCAGAUUGGUAGCAACAUGCUAAUUAACGUAAAUGAUUAGAUAGAUGCCACUAUUAUAAAAAAUAUUGGGUUUCAAAUCCAGAAUCAUGUCUUUAUAUCCUCCAUUAAAACUAUGUAACUAAAUGUAAAUAGAAACUUUUUCUUAAUUUUCUUAAUGAAAUCAGACCAGUGUGUUUCCAUAAUGUGAUCCAAGUGUGAAUAUCUAAAUGCAAACAAACCAAAAGCCUUGUAUAGAUAUUAAUGAUAUAGUUAUAUGUUUAUAUUUUAUGAUAUUUCACAGGAAAAAAAACUUUU